This 142-nucleotide unclassified non-coding RNA is filed under the name uncultured fungus. RNAcentral describes it as "sequence contains ITS1, 5.8S rRNA gene". Lineage: Eukaryota; Fungi. The record is from RNAcentral.
CCAGAGAUGGCGGGCCCCCGCGCCCCCGUCCCCAACCCUUUGUUGACAACCCAUUUUGCCUCGGGGGCAGAGCGUCCGCCGCCGCCCCCGGAGGACCACCGAACGCUGUCUCUGUACGUCGGAGUAUUGAUUAAAUGAAUGA